This 409-nucleotide ribosomal RNA is filed under the name uncultured Atopostipes sp. RNAcentral describes it as "bacterial SSU rRNA". It matches the Rfam family "Bacterial small subunit ribosomal RNA", at positions 356 to 774 of the family's 1533-position model. Lineage: Bacteria; Bacillati; Bacillota; Bacilli; Lactobacillales; Carnobacteriaceae. The record is from RNAcentral.
AGGGAAUAUUGCGCAAUGGACGGAAGUCUGACGCAGCGACGCCGCGUGAGCGAUGAAGGUCUUCGGAUCGUAAAGCUCUGUCCUUGGGGAAGAAGGCGAAAGCUUGACGGUACCCAAGAAGAAAGCCCCGGCUAACUACGUGCCAGCAGCCGCGGUAAUACGUAGGUGACAAGCGUUGUCCGGAAUUAUUGGGCGUAAAGGGAGCGCAGGCGGUUGGAAUAGUCUGAUGUGAAAGCCCACGGCUUAACCGUGGAAGGUCAUUGGAAACUGUCCAACUUGAAUACAGAAGAGGUAAGUGGAAUUCCAAGUGUAGCGGUGAAAUGCGUAGAUAUUUGGAGGAACACCAGUGGCGAAGGCGACUUACUGGUCUGUAAUUGACGCUGAGGCUCGAAAGCGUGGGUAGCAAACA